GAAUCCCAAAGUGCAGCACAGCGAGAGCUGCUGAGCAUCUUGUCAGCGGUGAGGUGCCUGUGUGCCGCAUGGCGAGGGGAUAGCUCUGCAGGGAACGAUGGGAGGCAGUUUGGGUCUGCAGCUACUCCACACCAUUGUGCUCAUAUCUUAUGCUAAACAGCUGGAGACAGAACACAAAGGCAAUUUUUCCUAUUGCUCUGACACUCGGACAGAAGGAGCAACCCUGCGGGGUGUUCAGCAAAGAUGCCGCUCCUUCUACCCUGCCCCAGCAGGAGAUCCAUCUCCAUCCUGCCCGCCGGAGAUCCGUGCGCCCCGCAGCAGCGCCCGGGCUUUCCGCGGGCUCGCAGCUGCAUCCAACAGCAGAGGGAGCUCCGCGAGAGGAAGAGGAGCAGGCGAAGCUCGGCAGGAGCAGCCCCAGGAAGGAGGGAGGCGGGCAGGGGUGAACAGAGGUAACCGCAGGCUGCUCUGCUGCACCAGAAAGUUUCAGUGA
Molecule: long non-coding RNA, 490 nt
Filed under: Cyanistes caeruleus (blue tit)
Lineage: Eukaryota; Metazoa; Chordata; Aves; Passeriformes; Paridae
Description: lncRNA (ENSCCEG00000013494.1)
Source: RNAcentral